RNAcentral lists this ribosomal RNA (484 nucleotides) under uncultured bacterium. Its description in RNAcentral is "partial 16S ribosomal RNA". It matches the Rfam family "Bacterial small subunit ribosomal RNA", at positions 30 to 507 of the family's 1533-position model. The record is from RNAcentral.
AUUGAACGCUGGCGGCAGGCCUAACACAUGCAAGUCGAGCGGUAGAGAGAAGCUUGCUUCUCUUGAGAGCGGCGGACGGGUGAGUAAUGCCUAGGAAUCUGCCUGGUAGUGGGGGAUAACGUUCGGAAACGGACGCUAAUACCGCAUACGUCCUACGGGAGAAAGCAGGGGACCUUCGGGCCUUGCGCUAUCAGAUGAGCCUAGGUCGGAUUAGCUAGUUGGUGGGGUAAUGGCUCACCAAGGCGACGAUCCGUAACUGGUCUGAGAGGAUGAUCAGUCACACUGGAACUGAGACACGGUCCAGACUCCUACGGGAGGCAGCAGUGGGGAAUAUUGGACAAUGGGCGAAAGCCUGAUCCAGCCAUGCCGCGUGUGUGAAGAAGGUCUUCGGAUUGUAAAGCACUUUAAGUUGGGAGGAAGGGCAGUAAAUUAAUACUUUGCUGUUUUGACGUUACCGACAGGAUAAGCACCGGCUAACUCUGUG